RNAcentral lists this long non-coding RNA (430 nucleotides) under Astyanax mexicanus (Mexican tetra). Its description in RNAcentral is "lncRNA (ENSAMXG00005008406.1)". The record is from RNAcentral. Lineage: Eukaryota; Metazoa; Chordata; Actinopteri; Characiformes; Acestrorhamphidae.
GUUUAUGUACUGCCACUCUCCAGUCGUUGAUAUGGAAGUAACAGGCAGGAAAAUUAACAAAGGCUACGUUCACACAGCAGGUGCUGAUUGCUGUGCACAGUGACUGUAUAAACUGUAAGUGCUCUCCUCACUCCUCUGAUCACCUGAUUUCUCCUGUGUGUUUCCUAUUGGUCACUGUAGAAUGACGCACUCCAUUGAUAAAACAUGACACAGAUAUGCAGCUAGGUAGUGCUUAGAGCAGUUGCAAAAGACUGUAAUCCUCCCAUACACACACACAUACACACACACACACACACACAUCUGAAUCACUGGAUGUUAUGUUUGCUGUUUUAAUGCACUAAUUUAAUGCUGUGUGUAAUUUAAGGAGCGUUCUAUUUAGGCCAGUUUUAAGACCGAUUUGCUCUUGCAGACAACGACGGAAGGUGUCCCA